AGUGAACGCUGGCGGUAGGCCUAACACAUGCCAGUCGAACGGCAGCACAGUAAGAGCUUGCUCUUACGGGUGGCGAGUGGCGGACGGGUGAGGAAUACAUCGGAAUCUACUUUUUCGUGGGGGAUAACGUAGGGAAACUUACGCUAAUACCGCAUACGACCUACGGGUGACAGCAGGGGAUCUUCGGACCUUUCGCGAUUGAAUGCGUCGAUGUCGGAUUAGCUAGUUGGCGGGGUAAAGGCCCACCAAGGCGACGAUCCGUAGCUGGUCUGAGAGGAUGAUCAGCCACACUGGAACUGAGACACGGUCCAGACUCCUAAGGGAGGCAGCAGUGGGGAAUAUUGGACAAUGGGCGCAAGCCUGAUCCAGCCAUACCGCGUGGGUGAAGAAGGCCUUCGGGUUGUAAAGCCCUUUUGUUGGGAAAGAAAAGCAGCAGGUUAAUACCCCGCUGUUCUGACGGUACCCAAAGAAUAAGCACCGGCUAACUUCGUG
Molecule: ribosomal RNA, 492 nt
Filed under: uncultured bacterium
Lineage: Bacteria
Description: partial 16S ribosomal RNA
Rfam family: Bacterial small subunit ribosomal RNA
Source: RNAcentral